This 1470-nucleotide ribosomal RNA is filed under the name metagenome. RNAcentral describes it as "bacterial SSU rRNA". It matches the Rfam family "Bacterial small subunit ribosomal RNA". The record is from RNAcentral.
AGAGUUUGAUCCUGGCUCAGGACGAACGCUGGCGGCACGCUUAACACAUGCAAGUCGAACGAGAGAAGAGGAGCUUGCUUUUCUGAUCUAGUGGCGGACGGGUGAGUAACACGUGAGCAAUCUGCCUUUCAGAGGGGGAUACCGAUUGGAAACGAUCGUUAAUACCGCAUAACAUAAUUGAACCGCAUGAUUUGAUUAUCAAAGAUUUAUCGCUGAAAGAUGAGCUCGCGUCUGAUUAGCUAGUUGGUAAGGUAACGGCUUACCAAGGCGACGAUCAGUAGCCGGACUGAGAGGUUGAUCGGCCACAUUGGGACUGAGACACGGCCCAGACCCCUACGGGAGGCAGCAGUGGGGAAUAUUGCACAAUGGAGGAAACUCUGAUGCAGCGAUGCCGCGUGAGGGAAGAAGGUUUUAGGAUUGUAAACCUCUGUCUUCAGGGACGAAAAAAGACGGUACCUGAGGAGGAAGCUCCGGCUAACUACGUGCCAGCAGCCGCGGUAAUACGUAGGGAGCGAGCGUUGUCCGGAAUUACUGGGUGUAAAGGGAGCGUAGGCGGGAUCGCAAGUCAGAUGUGAAAACUAUGGGCUUAACCCAUUAACUGCAUUUGAAACUGUGGUUCUUGAGUGAAGUAGAGGUAAGCGGAAUUCCUAGUGUAGCGGUGAAAUGCGUAGAUAUUAGGAGGAACAUCAGUAGCGAAGGCGGCUUACUGGGCUUUAACUGACGCUGAGGCUCGAAAGCGUGGGGAGCAAACAGGAUUAGAUACCCUGGUAGUCCACGCCGUAAACGAUGAUUACUAGGUGUGGGGGGACUGACCCCUUCCGUGCCGCAGCAAACGCAAUAAGUAAUCCACCUGGGGAGUACGACCGCAAGGUUGAAACUCAAAGGAAUUGACGGGGGCCCGCACAAGCAGUGGAGUAUGUGGAUUAAUUCGAAGCAACGCGAAGAACCUUACCAGGUCUUGACAUCGUAUGCAUAGCUCAGAGAUGAGUGAAAUCUCUUCGGAGACAUAUAGACAGGUGGUGCAUGGUUGUCGUCAGCUCGUGUCGUGAGAUGUUGGGUUAAGUCCCGCAACGAGCGCAACCCUUACUGUUAGUUGCUACGCAAGAGCACUCUAGCAGGACUGCCGUUGACAAAACGGAGGAAGGUGGGGAUGACGUCAAAUCAUCAUGCCCCUUAUGACCUGGGCCUCACACGUACUACAAUGGCUGUCAACAGAGGGAAGCAAAGCCGCGAGGUGGAGCGAACCCCUAAAAGCAGUCUUAGUUCGGAUUGUAGGCUGCAACCCGCCUACAUGAAGUCGGAAUUGCUAGUAAUCGCAGAUCAGCAUGCUGCGGUGAAUACGUUCCCGGGCCUUGUACACACCGCCCGUCACGCCAUGGGAGUCGGUAACACCCGAAGCCUGUAGUCUAACCGCAAGGAGGACGCAGUCGAAGGUGGGAUUGAUGACUGGGGUGAAGUCGUAACAAGGUA